RNAcentral lists this ribosomal RNA (467 nucleotides) under uncultured bacterium. RNAcentral describes it as "partial 16S ribosomal RNA". It matches the Rfam family "Bacterial small subunit ribosomal RNA", at positions 28 to 507 of the family's 1533-position model. The record is from RNAcentral.
GAUGAACGCUGGCGGCGCGCCUAACACAUGCAAGUCGAACGAUUAAAGCACCUUCGGGUGUGUAUAAAGUUGCCAACGGCUGAGUAACACGUGGGCAACCUGCCCCUCUCUUUGGGAUAGCCACUGAAAACCGUGGAUAAUACCGAAUACCUCGGAACUUCCGCAUGGAAGACCCGAGAAACCUCCGGCGGUGCGCGAUGGGAGGGCGGCUUGUUGGCUUGUCGGUGGGGUAAUGUCCUACCAAGGCAAUGCUGGGUAGCUGGGUUGAGAAACCAAACAGGCACAAGAGGACUACGACACGGACCAGAGGCGAACAGGGGGCAGCGGGGGGGAAUCUUGCACAAUGGGCGAGAGCCUGAGGAAGAGACGCCGCGUUCGGAAUGAAGGCCUUGGGGUUAAAAACCGCUUUCAGCAAGGACGAGGCGAUAGUGACGGUACCUGAAGAAGAAGCCCCGGCUAACUACGUG